This 61-nucleotide transfer RNA is filed under the name Ptilonyssus chloris. RNAcentral describes it as "tRNA-Ala". The record is from RNAcentral. Lineage: Eukaryota; Metazoa; Arthropoda; Arachnida; Mesostigmata; Rhinonyssidae.
AGAUAUAUAAUUUUAUAUAAAAUAUAUAAUUUGCAAUUAUAAAAAGCUAUAGCUAUAUCUA